UGAAAUGCAGUGCUUCUAACUAGAUGGAGCCAGCUGGUUGCGUGACACUGUGAAUCUAUUGAACGCCGCAGAUUCGUGCUUUAGAACGGUCAAGUUUAUAUUUUGUGUACUCUAGCACAAUACUAAUUUUAAAAAUCCAAACCAGUAUUUGUGAAGUCAUUGAUCAGGAUCAUACCUAAGACUUAGUCAUGCAUAUUUAAGUGAGUUAUUUUUUGUCACAUUAUAUUAAGAGAAACAACAAACACCAGCAGCGAAAUAGCACCCCGAACAACAAAUAUUUAAGCUUAUUUAACAAAAACAAGGAGUGUAGGCAUUUUGUUUCUUCAACAGAAAAGUACGAUAAUUCUAACAAAACGAACACACAGAGUGAAAAACCGUUUUUCAUUGUAACUACGGAACGUGCUGUUGCAUUUCCGUAGACUAUGCCGAGGGAAGGGGAGAGGUCUGGAAUAUCAGGUCACGAGGCUGUCUUCCCCCUGCUCUCUUUCUCUUUGUUUACUGAUGAGGGAGGGAAGACAAUCCUGCAGCCUCUUCAAGUCCUGGGAGCCUUCUCACUUCAGCAGCAUUAAAACCACGCGGACACGGACAGAGGGAGCGAUUGCCUCGCUGGCUGCCACCCAACCUCUUCGCUCGCCCCUCGGGACCACCCGCAGCCAGCGGACGAGGGACAAAUCAUUGCCCCCACAGGCUGUCUGACCCUGAAGGCUCCCCUCUGUGCCAAACCCUGGAAUGGGCCCUGGGGAAACCAAGUCAGAAAGAAGGCCUGGUGCCUCCCUCAGAAAUCUCGAAGUCUGGCAACCAGGUGCAAGAGGUGCUCUGGAAGAAGCCAUGGGCUUUCAGGGGAAGGAGCCUGUCACCUAGGUCACCUAGCCUGGCAGAGCAGGAGGAGGGAGCAUCCUUGAAGACAGCUUUCCGAAGGAGGGGACACCUGACUGGAGACAUGGUGAUGGACCAGAAUCUCAUGGACGGGGUGUGAACCCAGGAGACUGAGAAGGGUACUUGUUUUUGUGUUGGAGAUCAAAGGUAAGGUGCUAUUUGAUAGAAAUUCUCUGCUGCUCUCAAAACAAACAAAACCUGCUUAAAAACCAGUAAUUUCAUGAAGACCCAGGUGCCAAGUGGCACAGAGAGGCAGAGGGGGAUGACGCUUCGAGAUUGGCAAAGACAAAGCUCUGUACAGAAGUGGUGUUUAAACCCCGUUUUGGUCAAUUUGAAUAGAUAAAAGUCACUGUUUGUAAACUGGAAUUGUAAAUGAAAGCUCAAAAAAUCCAAGCCUCAAAGGAGAAAAUUGUAAUCAAAAUUCGUUUUUUUUUCUUUUCAUGUAAUCUUUAUUUUUUUUAAUUUAAUUUUUUAUUUUUUUAAAUUUACAUCCCAAUUAGUUAGCAUAUAGUGCAACAAUGAUUUCAGGAGUAGAUUCCUUAGUGCCCCUUACCCAUUCAGCCCAUCCCCCCUCCCACAACCCCUCCAGCAACCCUCAGUUUGUUCUCCAUAUUUGUGAGUCUCUUUUGUUUUUCCCCCUCCCUGUUUUUAUAUUAUUUUUGUUUCCCUUCCCUUAUGUUCAUCUGUUUUGUCUCUUAAAGUCCUCAUAUGAGUGAAGUCAUAUGAUUUUUGUCUUUCUCUGACUAAUUUCACUUAGCAUAAUACCCUCCAGUUCCAUCCACGUAGUUGCAAAUGGCAAGAUUUCAUUCUUUUUGAUUGCUGAGUAAUACUCCAUUGUAUGUAUAUACCACAUCUUCUUUAUCCAUUCAGCCAUCGAGGGACAUUUGGGCUCUUUCCAUAUUUGGCUAUUGUUGACAGUGCCGCUAUAAACAUUGGGGUGCAUGUGUCCCUUCGAAACAGCACACCUGUACCCCAUGGAUAAAUGCCUAGUAGUGCAAUUGCUGGAUUGUAGGGUAGUUCUAUUUUUAAUUUUUUGAGGAACCUCCAUACUAUUUUCCAGAGUGGCUGUACCAGCUUGCAUUCCCAUCAAAAUUCAUUUUUAAAAGAUGAUCAGGGGAGCCUGGGUGGCUCAGUCAGUUUAGCACCAACUUUGGCUCAGGUCAUGAUCUCACGGUUCAUGGGUUCGAGCCCCACAUGGGGCUCUGUGCUUGCAGCUCGGAGCCUGGAGCCUGCUUUGGAUUCUGUAUCUGUCUCUCUGUCCCUCCCCUGCUCACACUCUGUCUCUCAAAAAUAAAUAAGCAUUAAAAAAAAUUAAAAAUAAAUGAAUAAAAGGUGAUCAACACACAACCCUUUUGGAUUUACACACAUUAGAGGUAUUCCAAACUCAUUUGUUUGGGAAGAUGAAAACAGGCAUCGCUACUCAGAGCACAGAUGAGUUUUUCCGGAAGCUCACCUGGAAAUGCAAUUGUAUGAUGUCCAUGAAGUUAGGAGUAAGUAUUGAGCAAGUAGAAACACUGGGAUGGAGUGUGUGCUUGUCUCACUCAAACCUUUCUCCUGCAAGAGAAUUCUGUUCCCACCUUGCUGGCAGGAUGGAGCUACUCCCCACUGCUUGGGGGAGCCUUCUCUCCUGCUUUUGCCUUUCCCCUAACUUUGAGCUCCAUUUUGUUGUCUCAAGGAAAACCACAGUGGCUGUCUUUCUGUUCUGCCCCUGACAAGGAAGCCUGUCCUUGGAAAGGGCAGAACUCAGACCAGCUCCCUCGUUUACAGAAGCGGGGCUAGUGACUUGCCUGGGUCACCUUGACUUACACAGCUGGGAUAGAGGCAGCAGAUCUGAUGUCUGGUUAGGAGUUUUUUCCUUUGCAUCCCAAGUGCCUAAGACCAACCUGAUGCGACUGUGCGUGUAGGAAAUUGCCUUGGAACAUCUCAUGACCAAGUCCCCAGAAAGUUCUCUCUGGGUCACUGACAGAACUUAGUUCCCGUGAUGUGAAAACCACAGGAAUGGUGAAUUUGCAGAAUAUUCUGUGGGGUUUUUUUUAUGGCUAUAAUCUGAUGAAUAAAAGAGAUUUUAAAAAAUAAUAAUUAUUUGCAUAAAUACCCUGGCUUUUUUAUUAGAGUCUAACCUUUUUGAGGGUAGAGAACGUGUUACAUUCAUUUCUAUAAAGUCUAUAAUUCCCUCUCUACUCACACUUGAUGUCCAAUAAGUAUUCCUUGUUUGAUUGAAUAGGGAUGGCUCUGAAUUGAAGCCUGGAUUGAAAAAUUCAAAGCAAUGGCAGGAUUUUUCUUACCUCUGACUUUUAGCCCUUUUUCUCCCUGUGACCAGGCCUCCUGGAAGUUUUCCUCUUCUCUCUCAAACUUUUUCUCUGUGACACUCAUUGGAUAUCUCGUCGCAUACAGCCUUUUCCUGUUUCUUACUUCAUAUGCAACAUUUAAUUUUCCCAGCAAGGUUGUCCUCAAAGGUCAGGCUAAUGUUUCCUGUGCUAUGAUAUCCAAGUCAGUACGUGGUACCGUGCUAGGCCCAUAGACAAAUUCCAAAGACUAUUGAAAAGAACAGCUUCAGAACUGGUAAGAAUCUACAUGAUGCUUUUAGAUAACAUUUUAUUUUUUAAGUUCUCUCUCAGAAAUUAUUCCUUUUGUGGGGCACCUGGGUGGCUCAGUCCGUUAGCGUCCAACUUCAGCUCAGGCCAUGAUCUCACAGUUUGUGAGUUCGAGCCCCACGUCGGGCUCUGUGCUGACAGCUCAGAGCCUGGAGCCUGCCUCAGAUUCUGUCUCCUCUCUCUGCCCCUCCCCUACUUGUGCUCUGUCUCUCAAAAAUAAAUAAAUAUAAUUUUUAAAAUUUUAAAAAAAGAAAUUCCUUUUUUGACAACAUAACACGUUUUUAAUUUUCAAAUUUUAUUCAAAAUAGUUUUUUAGUUGAUGUACUUUAUUUUUCAUUGUGAACUUUACAUAACAUGAAAGAUACCAUCUUAACCAUGUUUAAGUGUAUGGUCCAGUGGUAUCGAGUACAUUCAUAUCGCUAUAUACUUAUGUCCAGAACUUUUCUCAUCUUACAAACCUGAUACUCUGUAUGCAUCAAAAAAUAACUCCCUAUAUUCCUCCCUCCCCAGCUCCUGGUAAGCACCAUUCUACUUUUUGUGUCUCUAUAAAUUUGACUAACUUAGUGGUUUAUGUUAGUGGAAUGGUACAGUUUUUAUAUUUUCGUGACUGGCUUGUUUGACUUAGUAUGAUGUCUUUCAUCCACACUGUAGUAAUGUCAGGAUUUCCUUUCUUUUUAAGGCUGAGUACUAUUCCAUUUGUAUGUUUAUGUCACAUUUUGUUUAUUCAUCCCUCCACCAGUGGACAGAUUAGGAUGGAUUGGGUUGCUUCCACCUCUUGGCUGUUGUGAUUAAUGCUGGUGUGAAUAUGGAUGUACAGAUAUCUAUCCCAGUCCUUGUUUUUAAUUUAUUCAGGUAUAUACCCAGAGAUGUAAUUGCUGGAUCAUAUGGUAAUUCCAUUUUUAAUUUUUUGAAGAACCUCCAUACUGUUUUCCAUAGUGGCGAUGUCAUUUUACACUCCUACUGGCAGGACACUAGGGUUCCAAUUUCGCCACAUCCUUGCCAAUGCUUGUUGUUUUCUGUUGUUUAUGUCUUUGUUUCUAAUGGUCAUCCUAAUGAGAGUGAAGUGGUGUCUUAUGGUGGUUUUGAUUUGCAUUUCCCUGAUGAUUAGUGAUGUUGAGCAUCUUUUCUUGUACUAAAUGGCCAUUUUAAUUUUUUUUUUAUUUUUAGUGUUUAUUUUUGAGAGAGAGAGAAAGAGAGACGCAGUGUGAGCAGGGGAAGGGCAGAGAGAGAGGGAGACACAGAAUCCGAAGCAGGCUCCAGGCUCUGAGCGGUCAGCACAGAGUCCGACGCGGGGCUCGAACUCAUGAACUGUGAAAUCAUGACCUGUGCCAAAGUUGGAUGUUUAACUGACUUAGCCACCCAAGUGCCCCUAA
This is a long non-coding RNA of Acinonyx jubatus (cheetah), 4843 nucleotides long. RefSeq lists it as uncharacterized. NCBI's taxonomy places the organism in Eukaryota, Metazoa, Chordata, Mammalia, Carnivora, Felidae. The transcript has 3 exons. The record is from RefSeq and is a predicted model, not a curated record.